ACGAGCACACAAGGUUGGGCGGCAGGGAAGAAGAGAAAGACAAAGAGAGAAAAAGAUAGAAAAAGAGAGAGAUGAAUGGAAAGAGUGAGAGAGAGAGAGAGAGAGAGAGAGAGAGAGAGACGACGAGAGGGACGAGCCAUCAACGGGUUAGAUAUUGUGUCAGUCGAGUCGUCCAGCAUUAAAAGUAAUUACGACGUGAUUGACCGAGGGCCUGUUGGCUGAGGGCGAGGCGACGCCGAGGGGGAGGCUAAAUCAUCGGAGUGACGCACGUAGCUCGUUGUUGCCUCCCAAUUAUACAAUCAGCGAGAGCAAAGCGCGAGAGGCAUCGAGGGGUGAAGGCGGCGAAAAAGAUACCGAGAGAUAGGGAGAGAGAGAGAGAGGAGAGCGACGCGGCGGAGAUGUCAGUCUCUUGCGACGAGACGCGAUGCGAGAGAGACGAGGAAAGAAAGAAAGAGUCAGUAGCGGAAUUACGUCAGGAACGUAGUGGGUAGUCGACGAGAUUGACAAAGAUCGGUGCCAUCGCAAUAAUUGCGCCGCGAAACUGGGCCCAUCAAUCGGAACCAGCGAUAGCCCUCGAACACGAGUCCCCAAUACGAGCGACUCUACUCUGAAAACUAUCCUAGGACUUUUUAAUCUUUUGACGAGAUAAUUACUGAUACCAAUGAUACCAGAUAAGAAUAUUCAUCGCAUACAUUGGCAUCGCAUACAUUACAUUAAGGCUUACAUUAUUAGACAGUUAUCACGUUUAAAUGGUCUAAUGAUUUGCUUAUUUCACAGUACUUGCGACAAUUUGGAAGUUUGCCCAAGGAAAUGGAUACGUCGUGCGAGAUGAUUCCCACAUACAAGGAUAACUCGCGAAAGAUUGAUACGUGGCGUCAAAUAUUCGAUAUUAUCAUCGCAAGAACAUCAGUUUCAUCACUGGGCAACCGUGGACAGUGCGAAGAGCAAUCAAGAGCAGCGCGGAGCGACGGAACUUUGUUCUUCUACGCGAGCUUCUUCUCUCGCCACUGCGACAGGAGAAUCACGACUCUGCUGUCUCUUCUAAAAAUGCGCCAUGACAGACGCAAUAAAUUAACGUGAUAUUUUACGGAAUUAUGAGCGACAAUUACCGUUAUUAAUUCUAAAGCAGAUGCUUCGAGAGAGAGAGAGAGAGAGAGAGAGAGAGAGAGAGAGAGACGCAAUAUAAUGAAACAUUUAUUAUUCCAACAAUAACAUGGAAUAACGAUUUGCCGACAUAAAAUGUUCAAGCUUGAAAUAUUUUAAGCCGUCCCUGGCCUCGAAGUGACCAACAAUAAGAGAGACGUCGAUGAAGCGACAUGAAGCCCAUCUGAUCGUGAUCGUUAUUGUCUAUUAUAAAGCAGAGUAACUUGGCUCGUUGCAGCUGCUGGUUCGUACUUUCGUAUCAACGAUAAUAUAGCACAAUUUGCGAUCUAGAAAAUUACCAAACGCAACAUAGUUCUAGGUAUAAACUAGACGAAUAUCAAGUAAAUAGGAAUAAUAUAAAUAAAAAAUGCGAAUAGAGAUAACAAAAAUUA
Solenopsis invicta (red fire ant) is the source of this 1535-nucleotide long non-coding RNA. RefSeq lists it as uncharacterized. The record is from RefSeq and is a predicted model, not a curated record. The transcript has 4 exons. NCBI's taxonomy places the organism in Eukaryota, Metazoa, Arthropoda, Insecta, Hymenoptera, Formicidae.